UCGAGAGGUGCAAGACCUCGGCAUACUGCUCAGUAACACGUGGACAACCUACCCUAUGGAAGGGGAUAAUCCCGGGAAACUGGGGAUAAUACCCUAUAGACUAUGGAUGCUGGAAUGCACUGUAGCCGAAAGGUCCGCCGCCAUAGGAUGGGUCUGCGGCCGAUUAGGUUGUUGUUGGGGUAACGGCCCAACAAGCCUGUAAUCGGUACGGGUUGUGGGAGCAAGAGCCCGGAGAUGGAUUCUGAGACACGAAUCCAGGCCCUACGGGGCGCAGCAGGCGCGAAAACUUUGCAAUGCGGGAAACCGUGACAAGGGAACUCUGAGUGCCCGUAAAAUCGGGCUGUCCAUCAGUUUAAAAAACUGGUGAAGAAAGGGCCGGGCAAGACCGGUGCCAGCCGCCGCGGUAAUACCGGCGGCUCGAGUGGUGGCCACUAUUACUGGGCUUAAAGCGUUCGUAGCUGGUUUGUUAAGUCUCUGGGGAAAUCUUCCGGCUUAACCGGAAGGCGUUUCAGGGAUACUGGCAGACUAGGGACCGGAAGAGGUGAGAGGUACUCCAGGGGUAGGAGUGAAAUCCUGUAAUCCUUGGGGGACCACCUGUGGCGAAGGCGUCUCACCAGGACGGCUCCGACAGUGAGGGACGAAAGCUGGGGGAGCAAACCGGAUUAGAUACCCGGGUAGUCCCAGCCGUAAACGAUGUGCGUUAGGUGUAUCGGUGACCACGAGUCACCGAGGUGCCGAAGAGAAAUCGUGAAACGUACCGCCUGGGAAGUACGGUCGCAAGGCUGAAACUUAAAGGAAUUGGCGGGGGAGCACCACAACAGGUGGAGCCUGCGGU
RNAcentral lists this ribosomal RNA (835 nucleotides) under uncultured Methanoregula sp. RNAcentral's name for it is "bacterial SSU rRNA". It matches the Rfam family "Archaeal small subunit ribosomal RNA", at positions 58 to 901 of the family's 1478-position model. Lineage: Archaea; Methanobacteriati; Methanobacteriota; Methanomicrobia; Methanomicrobiales; Methanoregulaceae. The record is from RNAcentral.